GACGAACGCUGGCGGCGUGCCUAAUACAUGCAAGUUGAGCGCUGAAGGUUGGUACUUGUACCGACUGGAUGAGCAGCGAACGGGUGAGUAACGCGUGGGGAAUCUGCCUUUGAGCGGGGGACAACAUUUGGAAACGAAUGCUAAUACCGCAUAAAAACUUUAAACACAAGUUUUAAGUUUGAAAGAUGCAAUUGCAUCACUCAAAGAUGAUCCCGCGUUGUAUUAGCUAGUUGGUGAGGUAAAGGCUCACCAAGGCGAUGAUACAUAGCCGACCGGAGAGGGUGAUCGGCCACAUUGGGACUGAGACACGGCCCAAACUCCUACGGGAGGCAGCAGUAGGGAAUCUUCGGCAAUGGACGAAAGUCUGACCGAGCAACGCCGCGUGAGUGAAGAAGGUUUUCGGAUCGUAAAACUCUGUUGGUAGAGAAGAACGUUGGUGAGAGUGGAAAGCUCAUCAAGUGACGGUAACUACCCAGAAAGGACCGGCUAACUACGUGCCAGCCGCCGCAGUAA
This 513-nucleotide ribosomal RNA is filed under the name uncultured bacterium. Its description in RNAcentral is "partial 16S ribosomal RNA". It matches the Rfam family "Bacterial small subunit ribosomal RNA", at positions 28 to 523 of the family's 1533-position model. The record is from RNAcentral.